AGGAUAAACGCUGGCGGCGUGCUUAACACAUGCAAGUCGAACGGAAAGGCCCUUUCGGGGUACUCGAGUGGCGAACGGGUGAGUAACACGUGGGUGAUCUGCCCUGCACUUCGGGAUAAGCUUGGGAAACUGGGUCUAAUACCGGAUAGGACUACGGACUUCAUGGUUUGUGGUGGAAAGCUUUUGCGGUGUGGGAUGGGCCCGCGGCCUAUCAGCUUGUUGGUGGGGUGAUGGCCUACCAAGGCGACGACGGGUA
Molecule: ribosomal RNA, 256 nt
Filed under: uncultured bacterium
Lineage: Bacteria
Description: partial small subunit ribosomal RNA
Rfam family: Bacterial small subunit ribosomal RNA
Source: RNAcentral